Molecule: long non-coding RNA, 449 nt
Organism: Gasterosteus aculeatus aculeatus (three-spined stickleback)
Lineage: Eukaryota; Metazoa; Chordata; Actinopteri; Perciformes; Gasterosteidae
Source: Ensembl
ACCUUACCUGGUCUCACAACACACUCCAGAUCACCAAGAAGGCCCAGCAGAGGCUGUACUUCCUAAGAAGGUUGAGGAAAUUUGGUUUGCAGACCAAGCUUUUUAUGAUUGACUGUAUACAAGGACUGGACACCUCCCAUGUUGACUCCUUUGAUUGGUGCACAGCUGCAGAGGAUAAAGCCGAUUGUCAACUGGCCGAAACUCCUGAUUGUCAUCCAUUCUCAUCUCUUGGCAACAUUUAAGCCCUGUUCCUGCAGGCCUUGGAUGCCAGUUCCUACAGUCAUUUGAGCUGGACCCCAGUAUCCACACAGUCGAGAUUGCCUGCUGCCUGGAUGUCGGAACACCGAACACCACACCGUUGGCCAGCUGGGUCCCUUAUAUUGAACUGAGAGCAUAUUCAAUAAACCUGUUGUUCAUCCAAUACCCCUGCUCUGUGGUUGCUUUUGGAU